Molecule: ribosomal RNA, 1017 nt
Filed under: uncultured bacterium
Lineage: Bacteria
Description: bacterial SSU rRNA
Rfam family: Bacterial small subunit ribosomal RNA
Source: RNAcentral
UGAGGAAUAUUGGUCAAUGGGCGAGAGCCUGAACCAGCCAAGUAGCGUGAAGGAUGACUGCCCUAUGGGUUGUAAACUUCUUUUAUAAAGGAAUAAAGUCGGGUAUGCAUACCCGUUUGCAUGUACUUUAUGAAUAAGGAUCGGCUAACUCCGUGCCAGCAGCCGCGGUAAUACGGAGGAUCCGAGCGUUAUCCGGAUUUAUUGGGUUUAAAGGGAGCGUAGGUGGACAUGUAAGUCAGUUGUGAAAGUUUGCGGCUCAACCGUAAAAUUGCAGUUGAAACUGCGUGUCUUGAGUACAGUAGAGGUGGGCGGAAUUCGUGGUGUAGCGGUGAAAUGCUUAGAUAUCACGAAGAACUCCGAUUGCGAAGGCAGCUCACUGGACUGCAACUGACACUGAUGCUCGAAAGUGUGGGUAUCAAACAGGAUUAGAUACCCUGGUAGUCCACACAGUAAACGAUGAAUACUCGCUGUUUGCGAUAUACAGUAAGCGGCCAAGCGAAAGCAUUAAGUAUUCCACCUGGGGAGUACGCCGGCAACGGUGAAACUCAAAGGAAUUGACGGGGGCCCGCACAAGCGGAGGAACAUGUGGUUUAAUUCGAUGAUACGCGAGGAACCUUACCCGGGCUUAAAUUGCAAAUGAAUAUGCCGGAAACGGCAUAGCCGCAAGGCAUUUGUGAAGGUGCUGCAUGGUUGUCGUCAGCUCGUGCCGUGAGGUGUCGGCUUAAGUGCCAUAACGAGCGCAACCCUUAUCUUCAGUUACUAACAGGUCAUGCUGAGGACUCUGGAGAGACUGCCGUCGUAAGAUGUGAGGAAGGUGGGGAUGACGUCAAAUCAGCACGGCCCUUACGUCCGGGGCUACACACGUGUUACAAUGGGGGGUACAGAAGGCCGCUACACAGCGAUGUGAUGCCAAUCCCUAAAGCCCCUCUCAGUUCGGAUCGAAGUCUGCAACCCGACUUCGUGAAGCUGGAUUCGCUAGUAAUCGCGCAUCAGCCACGGCGCGGUGAAUACGUUCCC